AACUCACAUCACAACUCGUGAACUCUGAGCUUUCGGAAACUUUCCACGUGAAUACCACAUGAGGGGGGCGUUCAUAUGGACUCUUCUCGUGAACGCGGUAAACACGACCCCAUUUGAAGGCAACAUAAAUGGGUGAAAGUUAAAAUUAGAGGGAAUGU
Sebastes umbrosus (honeycomb rockfish) is the source of this 158-nucleotide long non-coding RNA. RefSeq lists it as uncharacterized. The transcript has 3 exons. The record is from RefSeq and is a predicted model, not a curated record. Lineage: Eukaryota; Metazoa; Chordata; Actinopteri; Perciformes; Sebastidae.